UACGGAGGAUGCGAGCGUUAUCCGGAUUUAUUGGGUUUAAAGGGUGCGCAGGCGGCACGGCAAGCCGGCGGUCAAAUCGCGGGGCUCAACCUCGCCCAGCCGUCGGAACUGCCGGGCUAGAGUGGGCGAGAAGUGCGCGGAAUGCGUGGUGUAGCGGUGAAAUGCAUAGAUAUCACGCAGAACUCCGAUUGCGAAGGCAGCGCACCGGCGCCCUACUGACGCUCAGGCACGAAAGCGUGGGUAUCGAACAGG
RNAcentral lists this ribosomal RNA (252 nucleotides) under uncultured bacterium. Its description in RNAcentral is "partial 16S ribosomal RNA". It matches the Rfam family "Bacterial small subunit ribosomal RNA", at positions 524 to 776 of the family's 1533-position model. The record is from RNAcentral.